AACGUAGGAGACAAACGUUAUCCGGAGUUACUGGGCGUAAAGGGCGUGUAGGCGGUUUGUUAAGUCUGGCGUGAAAGCUCUCGGCUAAACCGGGAGAGGUCGUUGGAUACUGGCAAACUAGAGGACGGUAGAGGCGUGUGGAAUUCCGGGUGUAGUGGUGAAAUGCGUAGAGAUCGGGAGGAACACCGGUGGCGAAGGCGGGUCUCUGGGCAAUUCCUGACGCUGAGGCGCGAAAGCGUGGGGAGCAAACGGG
This 253-nucleotide ribosomal RNA is filed under the name uncultured bacterium. RNAcentral's name for it is "partial 16S ribosomal RNA". It matches the Rfam family "Bacterial small subunit ribosomal RNA", at positions 524 to 776 of the family's 1533-position model. The record is from RNAcentral.